RNAcentral lists this ribosomal RNA (496 nucleotides) under uncultured bacterium. RNAcentral's name for it is "partial 16S ribosomal RNA". It matches the Rfam family "Bacterial small subunit ribosomal RNA", at positions 29 to 507 of the family's 1533-position model. The record is from RNAcentral.
AUGAACGCUGGCGGCGUGCCUAAUACAUGCAAGUCGAGCGAACAGACGAGGAGCUUGCUCCUCUGACGUUAGCGGCGGACGGGUGAGUAACACGUGGAUAACCUACCUAUAAGCCUGGGAUAACUUCGGGAAACCGGAGCUAAUACCGGAUAAUAUAUUGAACCGCAUGGUUCAAUAGUGAAAGACGGUUUUGCUGUCACUUAUAGAUGGAUCCGCGCCGCAUUAGCUAGUUGGUAAGGUAACGGCUUACCAAGGCAACGAUGCGUAGCCGACCUGAGAGGGUGAUCGGCCACACUGGAACUGAGACACGGUCCAGACUCCUACGGGAGGCAGCAGUAGGGAAUCUUCCGCAAAGGGCGAAAGCCUGACGGAGCAACGCCGCGUGAGUGAUGAAGGUCUUCGGAUCGUAAAACUCUGUUAUUAGGGAAGAACAAAUGUGUAAGUAACUAUGCACGUCUUGACGGUACCUAAUCAGAAAGCCACGGCUAACUACGUG